Brassica napus (rape) is the source of this 663-nucleotide long non-coding RNA. RefSeq lists it as uncharacterized. The record is from RefSeq and is a predicted model, not a curated record. The transcript has 2 exons. NCBI's taxonomy places the organism in Eukaryota, Viridiplantae, Streptophyta, Magnoliopsida, Brassicales, Brassicaceae.
CAAUGAUAUAAUUAAGAGAAAUUAAGAAUAAUAACUCUAAUCAUAUAUGUAAUUACUAGAUUAACUCUUUAUAUUUUUGUAAUUACUAUAAUAAUACAGCUAUCAAGCAAAAAGACAUAAAAAUCCUUUAGCCAUUGAAAAUCAUUAAUAGAAUACAUGUUUUCAUAAAAAUAAAAUAAAAAUCCUUUUGUUUGUGAAAAACAGUUUUCACCGUCCAAGACCACGAACCCUAAAUCACCUUCAUGCGACUUCUCCGUCAUCUCUACCCCAAGAUUCCACUUUUUGGUGUUGAAGAUGAUAGAGUCAGUUUGCUUCCACCCAAGAAAUUCAAGACAAAAAAGGAAGGAUAGAAAAUCAGAUUUUGAUUAUGAGGCCAAGGUUAAAACAUAGGGGAUCAAAUUCUCAAUUUCUCUCGUGUGGGUGAAACAGACUCAAGACAGGACAAGAGAAAGACACUAAAACAAGCUCAAGACGGGACAUGAGCAGGAGUGUGUUGAGAUGGGGAUUGAGUUUCUUCUCUAUUGUAGUUGCACGGCUUGUAACACUCAAAUCUUUAGCAUCUUGAAAUGAACAAAGGAAAUCAGAUACCUUAUUGUUCCUAAAAGUUUAUUGGCAUUGUAAAAAGUUUAAAUUGUAGAUCUCAUCAACGUCCUCUUUUGAGCA